This 492-nucleotide long non-coding RNA is filed under the name Homo sapiens (human). Its description in RNAcentral is "long intergenic non-protein coding RNA 3013". The record is from RNAcentral. Lineage: Eukaryota; Metazoa; Chordata; Mammalia; Primates; Hominidae.
GGCACUGUGCUAAACUCAAAUGGUGGGGAAAGUAAACACAGACCCUGCCUCCAUGGGACCCUCAGGGGAGGAGACACAUAAACAAAUAAUCAGACAAGUAUAUAGCCACUGGGCUAGACAGGAAAAGUUCAGGGUCCUGUGAGAGUAGGACAGGGGGUCCUAACCUAGUGGGGGUGACAGGAAAGACUGAGAUCUGAAGGAUUCAUUCUUUCAACAAUUAUUUUUGAAUGCCUACCUCUUGUCCAAACAGUGCUAAGGCCUGGAAUAAGUGGCCGCAGAGAUUUAAAUAAAUGCAUCCCAGAUACAGAGUUAAAAGCAUGCCAACAAUGAGGGCUGUGUGGUUUGGAGAAGAGCAGAAGAGCACACUGCUUUCAGUCAGGCAGAGGCAGAUUAGAUUGCCUGCCACCUCCAGUGGGAUGGUGGCUCCGGACAGUCACUCACCUUCUCUAAAACCCACCUCCACCUAGUCUAUAAAAUGCAGAGAACGAACAA